UAGUAAGUUAUAGAGUCAGGGGAUAGGGGCGGAUGUAGCCAAGUGGAUCAAGGCAGUGGAUUGUGA
Molecule: transfer RNA, 66 nt
Filed under: Plantago sp. Fernandez & Matzenauer s.n.
Lineage: Eukaryota; Viridiplantae; Streptophyta; Magnoliopsida; Lamiales; Plantaginaceae
Description: partial tRNA-His
Source: RNAcentral